AUGGCUCCCGCCGCCGACCUUAGCUCGCACGUCCACGCGGCCGCGGACGCCGCACCCAAGUCCCCCGCCAAGCCGAAGCAAGAAGAGAUCAGUCCUGCGGCGGCCGACGUUGACGACGACGUGGAGGCGGGUGGUGGCAGCCCGGGCGGCGACGGCGUCAACUACGUAGCGCGCGCACAGUGGCUCCGCGCGGCCGUCCUGGGCGCCAACGACGGCCUCGUCACCGUGGCCUCCCUCAUGAUCGGCGUUGGCGCCGUCAACGAUUCCAAGCGCGCGAUGCUCGUGUCGGGCGUCGCGGGGCUCGUGUCCGGCGCCUGCAGCAUGGCCAUCGGCGAGUUCGUGUCCGUGUACGCGCAGUACGACAUCGAGGUGGCCCAGAUCAAGCGCAUCCGCGGCGGCGACGGCGACAGGAGCAACCUGCCGAGCCCGAUGCUGGCGGCGGGCGCGUCGGCCCUGGCGUUCGCGGCGGGCGCCGCGCUGCCGCUUCUGAGCGGCGGGUUCGUGCGGACGUGGGCGGGCAGGGUUGUGGCCGUGUGCGCGGCGAGCAGCGUCGGGCUUGCCGGCUUCGGCGUGCUGGGCGCGUACCUGGGCGGCGCGAGCGUGGUGCGGUCCGGGGCCCGGGUGCUGGUGGGAGGGUGGCUCGCCAUGGCCACCACCUACGGGGCGCUUAAGCUCUUCGGAGUGCACGGCGCUUAG
This 696-nucleotide ribosomal RNA is filed under the name Triticum aestivum (bread wheat). Its description in RNAcentral is "partial small subunit ribosomal RNA". The record is from RNAcentral. Lineage: Eukaryota; Viridiplantae; Streptophyta; Magnoliopsida; Poales; Poaceae.